GUCUACAGCCAUACUACCUGAACGUGCCUGAUAUUGUCUGAUCUCUGGAAGCUGAGCAGGGUUGGGCCUGGUUAGUACUUGGAUGGGAGAACUUACUCCUUCCAGCUCACUGUAUGUG
Molecule: ribosomal RNA, 118 nt
Filed under: Propithecus coquereli (Coquerel's sifaka)
Lineage: Eukaryota; Metazoa; Chordata; Mammalia; Primates; Indriidae
Source: RNAcentral